GUAUAAACAGUAUAAUGUGUGGUAUACCCAGGGUAUCAACAGUAUAAUGUGUGGUAUACUCAGGGUAUCAACAGUAUAAUGUUUGGUAUACUCAGGGUAUCAACAGUAUAAUGUUUGGUAUACUCAGGGUAUAAACAGUAUAAUGUGUGGUAUACUCAGGGUAGACUAGAGUAUAAUGUGUGGUAUACUCAGGGUAUAAAGAGUAUAAUGUUUGGUAUACUCAGGGUAUAAACAGUAUAAUGUGUGGUAUACCCAGGGUAUAAACAGUAUAAUGUGUGGUAUACUCAGGGUAUAAACAGUAUAAUGUUUGGUAUACUCAGGGUAUAAACAGUAUAAUGUUUGGUAUACUCAGGGUAUAAACAGUAUAAUGUGUGGUAUACUCAGGGUAUCAACAGUAUAAUGUGUGGUAU
This 410-nucleotide long non-coding RNA is filed under the name Salmo salar (Atlantic salmon). RNAcentral describes it as "lncRNA (ENSSSAG00000096716.1)". The record is from RNAcentral. Lineage: Eukaryota; Metazoa; Chordata; Actinopteri; Salmoniformes; Salmonidae.